AGAGUUUGAUCAUGGCUCAGAAUCAACGCUGGCGGCGCGCCUAACACAUGCAAGUCGAACGAGAAAGUGGAGCAAUCCAUGAGUAAAGUGGCGUACGGGUGAGUAACACGUGGAUAACCUGCCCCUUUGUGGGGAAUACCGUUGGGAAACCGACGACAAUACCGCAUAAGCUCGAGAGAGGAAAGCAGCAAUGCGCAGAGGGAGGGGUCCGCGGCCGAUUAGCUAGUUGGUAGGGUAAUGGCCUACCAAGGCUGUGAUCGGUAGCCGGCCUGAGAGGGCACACGGCCACACUGGCACUGAAACACGGGCCAGACUCCUACGGGAGGCAGCAGUGGGGAAUCUUGCACAAUGGGGGAAACCCUGAUGCAGCGACGCCGCGUGAGCGAUGAAGCCCUUCGGGGUGUAAAGCUCUUUCGGCAGGGAAGAUUAUGACGGUACCUGCAGAAGCAGCUGCGGCUAACUACGUGCCAGCAGCCGCGGUAAUACGUAGGCAGCAAGCGUUGUUCGGAGUUACUGGGCGUAAAGGGUGCGUAGGCGGUUCUGUAAGUAUGGUGUGAAAUCUCCCGGCUUAACUGGGAGGGUGCGCUAUAAACUGCGGGACUAGAGUGUGGGAGAGGGAAGUGGAAUUCCUGGUGUAGCGGUGAAAUGCGUAGAUAUCAGGAGGAACACCGGUGGUGUAAACGGCUUUCUGGACCAUAACUGACGCUGAGGCACGAAAGCGUGG
RNAcentral lists this ribosomal RNA (724 nucleotides) under uncultured bacterium. RNAcentral's name for it is "bacterial SSU rRNA". It matches the Rfam family "Bacterial small subunit ribosomal RNA", at positions 8 to 764 of the family's 1533-position model. The record is from RNAcentral.